UACAGAGGGGGCUAGCGUUGUUCGGAAUCACUGGGCAUAAAGCGCACGUAGGCGGCUAGGUCCGUCCGAUGUGAAAGCCCCCGGCUCAACCGGGGAAUUGCAUCGGAUACAGCCUGGCUCGAGGACGGUUGGGGUGAGUGGAACUCCUGGUGGAGCGGUGAAAUGCGUAGAUAUCGGGAGGAACACCAGCGGCGAAGGCGGCACUCUGGGCUGGUACUGACGCUGAGGAGCGAAAGCGUGGGUAGCAAACAGG
Molecule: ribosomal RNA, 253 nt
Filed under: uncultured bacterium
Lineage: Bacteria
Description: partial 16S ribosomal RNA
Rfam family: Bacterial small subunit ribosomal RNA
Source: RNAcentral